AUUGAACGCUGGCGGCAGGCCUAACACAUGCAAGUCGAACGGUAACAGGAAGCAGCUUGCUGCUUUGCUGACGAGUGGCGGACGGGUGAGUAAUGUCUGGGAAACUGCCUGAUGGAGGGGGAUAACUACUGGAAACGGUAGCUAAUACCGCAUAACGUCGCAAGACCAAAGAGGGGGACCUUCGGGCCUCUUGCCAUCGUAUGUGCCCAGAUGGGAUUAGCUAGUAGGUGGGGUAACGGCUCACCUAGGCGACGAUCCCUAGCUGGUCUGAGAGGAUGACCAGCCACACUGGAACUGAGACACGGUCCAGACUCCUACGGGAGGCAGCAGUGGGGAAUAUUGCACAAUGGGCGCAAGCCUGAUGCAGCCAUGCCGCGUGUAUGAAGAAGGCCUUCGGGUUGUAAAGUACUUUCAGCGGGGAGGAAGGGAGUAAAGUUAAUACCUUUGCUCAUUGACGUUACCCGCAGAAGAAGCACCGGCUAACUCCGUG
Molecule: ribosomal RNA, 490 nt
Filed under: uncultured bacterium
Lineage: Bacteria
Description: partial 16S ribosomal RNA
Rfam family: Bacterial small subunit ribosomal RNA
Source: RNAcentral